Molecule: long non-coding RNA, 2758 nt
Filed under: Canis lupus familiaris (dog)
Lineage: Eukaryota; Metazoa; Chordata; Mammalia; Carnivora; Canidae
Description: lncRNA (ENSCAFG00845013854.1)
Source: RNAcentral
UAAAUGACAGCACCGGGAGGUAGAAGGAAGCCACAGAAGCUGUGGCUCUAAGGGUCAGAAGAAGAGUUCUUCAGAGGCUAGAGGAAUAAUGGUCCGGUUCUCCCCUCUACCUCAGUUGGGAUUCCAGAACAUAAACUAGAAAAGUGUUGCCGGAAAAAAAUGUGUGGGCAAACCUAGAUGACCAGGAUAAGUUAUAGUUAAGCCUAUAAUAAGGAUAUCAGGAAAUGGGGCAUAUUAGGUUAAACUGGCUAUAAAGUUUUCAAGAAGAAUUCACUCUAGAAAUGCCCUGAUUUUGAGUAGUGGGUGGUAUUGGUAUCCCAGAUUGCCCAGGUUGGCUCUGGAAGAUUCCAAGUUUUUAGAUCACUCCCUGAUAUGAGAACCCAGUAGUAAAGAACACAUGUACAUUAAACACAAUUGUUUGCAUACUAGUUCAGGGGGUUAUCAGAGUUCUUUGAAGCUCUAGGUUAAGAACCAUAUUUAGAAGAUGGCUUUGUACAUAUGGCUAUUAGAUCUUUGUGGCUAAUUCCAUCAUGUAGAUAGAUACUAGUCUCUCCUUAGGCUGCAAUUGCCAAUCAGAAGAGAAAACUUUAGAAAAUUGAUCAAGUUAUAAUUUGGCACAAUUUUCCAGUUUUCUCUGGAAAAUAAUGUCUCUUUAACAAUUCAGUGCUGGCAUGAUUCCAAUUAAAAUGUUUGUUUAUAUAUACAAAACUUCCUGGGGAUCAAAAUGACGUGUAUCUUAGGUGCUUAAUAAAUGUUUGCUGAACUAAAAAAUAAAUAAAUAAAUAAAUAAAUAAAUAAAUAAAUAAAUAAAUAAAUAAAUAAAUAUUUGCUGAACUGAAGGGAUAAGAGCUGGCUUCCCAUGUAGACUUUCCUACAGGGAAAAGAACAUGUUGACUGCAUAUCAUAGGUUUCUAGGCCCUUUGAUAGUUACUCUUCUCAUUAUGAAUGAGCAAAUUGGUGUUCUAGUUUAUACACUGGCCUCCUGUGCAUUGAGUUAGCACGAACUUCAUCCCUCGAGUAUGAUCAACUCUGGGCACCCUGACAAAAUUAAGUUUCUGGACUUGCAAAACUGAGGAAUGAGCCCUGGAAAAUGUGACUUGACUGAGGCAAUAUCAUCCUGAGGCCAGCCUGCGGGGCCCAGCUGGCCUCUCCCUAUGACACUUCUAACUUGGUUGUUUAGAACAGCAGCUCUAUUGAAAUCAUUUUUACCUCCUGCAAUUAAAAUCUUUGAGACCAUGAUAGAGUUGUUAGCAAAAUAUUGCUGUAAUCUCAGCUAAUGUAAGAGGACUAAGUCAUUUAUUAGAAACCAUAGUGAGUUAAUAAAACAGAGUAGCUGAAAAUGUCUCCUAAUUCUAGAGUCUAGGGUGGGGAGUUAUUAACAGUGUAUAUAAUUUGUGACUGUUCAUGGGUAGUGACCUAGUAACAGACUGUUCCAUUUUAAGGCUACUGCUAGUGAGUACUAAAAUGCUUGUAACAAAACAAAGCAAACUCUGCUUUUUUGUCUGGUUUGUUUUGUUUGUAUUAUACUUCAUUGCUUCUUGUGUUAUGCUAGAGUUGCACAUUUCUGAGUGUCUCAUUCUUCUUGUUCAUAGAAUCAUAAACUUUUCCCACAACUCUGAAGAGUUGGACGUAAUGACCAGUAAAAACAGGAUUUUUUCAAUAUGGCAACCAUUCCAAUAACAAUUACUGAUAAUUCUUUUGUUUCUCUUCACCUAUAAAAAAGAUAACUAACUAACCAGUUCAACAAAAUGUCAUUUCUUGCUAGAUUUUUCACUAGAAGAAAGGAGUUUUCUUGCCCCUCAGAAUUUUGUAAGUUCUCCUAAUGAUUUGCUAAUUUGGUGUGUGUGGGGGUGGGGUGGGGGGAGGCACAGUAUAAACAUGCACAUCCUUUAAUUUUACCUGCUGAUAAGUAAUUUAAUCCUUAUUUUUAUGUUAAAUCAGCAAGGAUAUACUAUGGCUUAAAGGCAAAAUGUGAGACUUUAAACAAAGCCCUGGGUUUGCAGUGGGGAAGGAUGGGAGUUUAGGGAGGGAUAUUUGGGGCAGGGGUGUUGGGGGGUUGGGGGGCUGUUUAGGUUCUUCUCUUUUGGGGGAUAUGUCAGUGGAAACUUUGAGAAGCCCUGCUUGCCACUGGGAUUAGUCCAGAAACAUAUUUGCUUUGUUUCUCCUAUUUCCCUGGGAAAGGUCUAGAUACUUUUGAAUGAAAAUACUGAAUUUUUCAAUGUACAUUAAAUUGCCCUUGUCCCACUCUGGUGCUAAAACUGGAAGGAGCUUGUAACACUAGACCAUCUUGAGGAAGAACAGUGGACACACCCCUUCAUUAGUGGAAGUAGUAUUGGCCCUGUAGAAAUGGGGGCAGUUACUGAUUGGGAGGGAGGUUUGGAUCUGGCUACAGUAGGAAAAAAAACUGGUAAUGUAACUAGAAAGAUGAUAAUAACUAUGCAAGUCCAGAUAUUUUAAUUUGAAGAUGAGAAGAGAGAAUAUCAAUCAAAAAUAAUACUGAAGUCCCAGAUUAAGAUGUAAAACAUUGGGCUCUAAAGAGGAGCAUGGAAGUUACUGUCAGUAAAAAUAUGCCCAGAGGAUCUCUGGAAAAGGUGAGAAUCGAGACAAAAGGAAGAGAAAAAAAAUGUCCUUAAGCUGAAAAUUUUAAAUGCCUCGCUAGGUGAUGUUAGAAUGCCAAAAGGACUGUUUACUAAGAAUACAAGCUGUUAACUUAAUAUGUAAUGGUAUAAACUGGGUUCUUCUUAGGAAAAAAAAAAAA